CUACGGAGGGUCCGAGCGUUAUCCGGAAUCAUUGGGUUUAAAGGGUCCGUAGGCGGGCAGCUCGGUCAGUGGUGAAAGUUUGCAGCUCAACUGUAAAAUUGCCAUUGAUACUGGUUGUCUUGAAUUAACGUGAAGUGGUUAGAAUAAGUAGUGUAGCGGUGAAAUGCAUAGAUAUUACUUAGAAUACCAAUUGCGAAGGCAGAUCACUAACAUUAUAUUGACGCUGAUGGACGAAAGCGUGGGGAGCGAACAGAAUUAGAAACCCCAGUAGUCC
This 274-nucleotide ribosomal RNA is filed under the name uncultured bacterium. Its description in RNAcentral is "partial 16S ribosomal RNA". It matches the Rfam family "Bacterial small subunit ribosomal RNA", at positions 523 to 796 of the family's 1533-position model. The record is from RNAcentral.